UCCCGUUUACCCUGAUUCUCCCCCAACAAUCUCCAAGUAUCUCCUAGAACCCACCCUACCCACCCCGGCCCAAGACAUACAGACACACACACACACACACACACACACACACACACACACACACACACACACACACAGAGCCUUCCAGACCUUCUGUCUCCUUUCCUUUCCUCUGGGCCCUGACCCAGAGCCGGCUGAUCAAAUCCCCUUCUUCCACAGCUGGAGGAAGAGCAGCAGGCCCUCCAGAAGAAACUGAAGGGGACAGAGGAUGAGGUGGAAAAGUAUUCCGAGUCUGUGAAGGAUGCCCAGGAGAAACUGGAGCAGGCCGAGAAGAAGGCCACCGAUGCUGAAGCAGAUGUGGCUUCUCUGAAUCGACGCAUUCAGCUCGUAGAGGAGGAGUUGGAUCGGGCACAGGAGCGCCUGGCUACAGCCUUGCAAAAGCUGGAGGAGGCUGAGAAAGCCGCUGAUGAGAGCGAGAGAGGAAUGAAGGUCAUUGAGAACCGGGCCAUGAAGGAUGAGGAGAAGAUGGAGCUGCAGGAGAUGCAGCUGAAAGAAGCCAAGCACAUCGCUGAGGACUCAGACCGCAAAUACGAGGAGGUGGCCAGGAAGCUGGUGAUCCUGGAAGGAGAGCUGGAGCGCUCUGAAGAGAGAGCCGAGGUGGCUGAGAGCCGAGCCAGGCAGCUGGAGGAGGAGCUUCGAACCAUGGACCAGGCUCUCAAGUCGCUGAUAGCCUCAGAGGAGGAGUAUUCCACCAAAGAGGACAAAUACGAAGAAGAGAUCAAACUUCUGGAGGAGAAGCUGAAGGAGGCUGAGACCCGAGCAGAGUUUGCUGAAAGAUCUGUGGCAAAGUUGGAGAAAACCAUCGAUGACCUGGAAGAGACUUUGGCUAGUGCCAAGGAAGAGAACGUGGAGAUUCACCAGACCUUGGACCAGACCCUUCUGGAACUCAACAACCUGUAAGGGCUGGCCCUGCUACCUGCCGACCAGACUACAUAGAUGCCUCCUCAGGCCAAUAAACGGAUGUCUCUGGC
This 1031-nucleotide long non-coding RNA is filed under the name Rattus norvegicus (Norway rat). RNAcentral describes it as "long non-coding RNA NONRATT023190". The record is from RNAcentral. Lineage: Eukaryota; Metazoa; Chordata; Mammalia; Rodentia; Muridae.